Molecule: long non-coding RNA, 440 nt
Organism: Strongylocentrotus purpuratus (purple sea urchin)
Lineage: Eukaryota; Metazoa; Echinodermata; Echinoidea; Camarodonta; Strongylocentrotidae
Exons: 3
Source: RefSeq, a predicted model, not a curated record
UGCAUGACGUUGACUCUGAUGGUUGCAUGUCAGCUUGUGUAUCAUCUCAGACUUGAUAACUGGAUGGUUCCUUUCAUUGCAGCAGUUGGAGGCAUUCUGACAGCAGAUUCUUCUCUGGGUUAGUUCAUUGGGCAGCUGACUCAUGGGGUUCAAUUGAAAUACCUGUAGUGGGACAGGCUUUCAUCAGACCAUUCAGGGAAGCACCACAUUGACCCUACUGCCAUCACCCGGCACGACGUCAUCGAGACCAACGGCGACAACUGCAUGAUGUCUCUGAUCGGCCUCAUCCCGCAGACCUUUCAUCCUCUUCAGCAGCUCCACGGAGACCAUCCAGCAGCACUACGCCUGGCACUGCUUCUUCCUCCUGCUCGCCAUCUUUGUCACACUGACCAACCAGUUCCACAAGUGGUCCCACACCUACUUUGGGCUUCCCGCCUGGG